RNAcentral lists this ribosomal RNA (604 nucleotides) under Staphylococcus pseudintermedius. Its description in RNAcentral is "partial 23S ribosomal RNA". It matches the Rfam family "Bacterial large subunit ribosomal RNA", at positions 1487 to 2090 of the family's 2925-position model. Lineage: Bacteria; Bacillati; Bacillota; Bacilli; Caryophanales; Staphylococcaceae. The record is from RNAcentral.
CGAAGCGUGCUGUUGGAGUGCACGUCCAAGCAGUGAGAUUGAGUGUUAGGCAAAUCCGGCACUCUUAAGAUUGAGCUGUGAUGGGGAGAGGAACUUGUUCCUCGAGUCGUUGAUUUCACACUGCCGAGAAAAGCCUCUAGCUAGAAUAACGGUGCCCGUACCGCAAACCGACACAGGUAGUCAAGAUGAGAAUUCUAAGGUGAGCGAGCGAACUCUCGUUAAGGAACUCGGCAAAAUGACCCCGUAACUUCGGGAGAAGGGGUGCUCUUUGAGGUUCACGCUUCGAAGAGCCGCAGUGAAUAGGCCCAAGCGACUGUUUAUCAAAAACACAGGUCUCUGCUAAACCGUAAGGUGACGUAUAGGGGCUGACGCCUGCCCGGUGCUGGAAGGUUAAGAGGAGUGGUUAGCGCAAGCGAAGCUACGAAUCGAAGCCCCAGUAAACGGCGGCCGUAACUAUAACGGUCCUAAGGUAGCGAAAUUCCUUGUCGGGUAAGUUCCGACCCGCACGAAAGGCGUAACGAUUUGGGCACUGUCUCAACGAGAGACUCGGUGAAAUCAUAGUACCGGUGAAGAUGCCGGUUACCCGCGACAGGACGGAAAGACC